Molecule: small nuclear RNA, 110 nt
Organism: Pectinophora gossypiella (pink bollworm)
Lineage: Eukaryota; Metazoa; Arthropoda; Insecta; Lepidoptera; Gelechiidae
Source: RefSeq, a predicted model, not a curated record
UCCUGCAGUGGAAAGGACCACAGGAUUUUAAUCAUUAUUUUAUACAGAGAAGAUUAGCAUGACCCUUGCGCAAGGAUGACACGUUUAAUCGUUAAGCGUUCCACAUUUGG